This 465-nucleotide ribosomal RNA is filed under the name Vreelandella stevensii. RNAcentral's name for it is "partial 16S ribosomal RNA". It matches the Rfam family "Bacterial small subunit ribosomal RNA", at positions 338 to 795 of the family's 1533-position model. The record is from RNAcentral. Lineage: Bacteria; Pseudomonadati; Pseudomonadota; Gammaproteobacteria; Oceanospirillales; Halomonadaceae.
CCUACGGGUGGCAGCAGUGGGGAAUAUUGGACAAUGGGCGAAAGCCUGAUCCAGCCAUGCCGCGUGUGUGAAGAAGGCCUUCGGGUUGUAAAGCACUUUCAGUGGGGAAGAAAGCCUUGGGGCUAAUACCCUCGAGGAAGGACAUCACCCACAGAAGAAGCACCGGCUAACUCCGUGCCAGCAGCCGCGGUAAUACGGAGGGUGCGAGCGUUAAUCAGAAUUACUGGGCGUAAAGCGCGCGUAGGCGGUCUGAUAAGCCGGUUGUGAAAGCCCGGGGCUCAACCUGGGAACGGCAUCCGGAACUGUCAGGCUAGAGUGCAGGAGAGGAAGGUAGAAUUCCCGGUGUAGCGGUGAAAUGCGUAGAGAUCGGGAGGAAUACCAGUGGCGAAGGCGGCCUUCUGGACUGACACUGACGCUGAGGUGCGAAAGCGUGGGUAGCAAACAGGAUUAGAUACCCUAGUAGUC